Small nuclear RNA from Dromiciops gliroides (monito del monte), 102 nucleotides. The record is from RefSeq and is a predicted model, not a curated record. NCBI's taxonomy places the organism in Eukaryota, Metazoa, Chordata, Mammalia, Microbiotheria, Microbiotheriidae.
GCUUACUUUGGCUAUACCUCUAUUAAAAUUGGAAUGAUCUAGAGACUAGCAUUGCCUCUGCAGAAGGAUGAGAAACACAUGAGGGAAGUGCUUCCCUGUGUU